ACAAUGGAGAGUUUGAUCCUGGCUCAGGAUGAACGCUAGCGGCAGGCUUAAUACAUGCAAGUCGAGGGGUAACAUGGGUAGCAAUACCUGAUGACGACCGGCAAACGGGUGCGGAAC
RNAcentral lists this ribosomal RNA (117 nucleotides) under Ferruginibacter sp. RNAcentral describes it as "partial 16S ribosomal RNA". It matches the Rfam family "Bacterial small subunit ribosomal RNA", at positions 1 to 114 of the family's 1533-position model. The record is from RNAcentral. Lineage: Bacteria; Pseudomonadati; Bacteroidota; Chitinophagia; Chitinophagales; Chitinophagaceae.